RNAcentral lists this unclassified non-coding RNA (1037 nucleotides) under Hevea brasiliensis (rubber tree). Lineage: Eukaryota; Viridiplantae; Streptophyta; Magnoliopsida; Malpighiales; Euphorbiaceae. The record is from RNAcentral.
ACUUCUUUUUUUUUUUUUUUUGGCAAGAAAAGCAUGCAAUCAUACUUUACAGAGUUAAUCAAGUGAUUUUGUGUCUAUAACAACAACAGGCUUGGGCACACUCAGAUUGUUAAAUGGGUAAGUUUACACGUCAUCAGUUAGAUUAGUUUCCAUUCCCAUAAAUCAAUCUCCCACCCAGCCCCAGACAACCACAAUCACAUCUUAAAGUUAUACCCUCUCAAUAAAAAUUUCAAGCAUUAACCACCAAGGUGUCCCUUCAGAGGCAUUAAUUGGCUGAAUCACAUAAGAAAGAAGGCAGCCUGCCAAUGAAAAAGAUACUAAACACCCAUUUGCUUCAAUUUGAUAAAAGGUCAAUUGAUAUGAUCACAUGCUAAUAAAGCCAACACUUUUUUUUAGAGCUAACCAAAUAAAGCCAACACUUACACCAUAAGAGAACGAAUAAAUUCAAAGUUCCAAAACAUCACAAGGGCAAUUUGAGAACAUUAUUCCUAGAUUUAUCUCUAGGAUAACGUGAUUAUCAGAUUCUACUUGCAUUCAGUUUGGCAAUCAAGGGAAAUAAAGAGAAGAGAAUGGAAAAUAAAAAUUUUGCACUAUGAUACCCUUAGAACAAGGAUCCUUCCUUAUAUUGAUAAGGUGUUUUGUUAGAAAAAAAAAUAUUAUAGCCUAGAAAGUUCAAUUUCCUACCAUUUCUCUCCAUAUUGAGAGGAAACGUCGAAACGUCAGAUGAGUUAAUUUCACCUCCUUUCUUUUCAUUUAUGAAAUUGAAUUGAUUUCAUUUCCUUUCUUCCCAUUUUCCCUCACUUCCCUCAAAACAAACAGACUAUAUUAAGAGUCAAUUAAUAAUAGUUACUCCAAGUUUUACAAACAUCUAAACCAUAUCAACUCAAUCAAAAUUUCCAAACAUAAAUCAUAUAAUUUAACUAAUUAAUCACAAUCUCAAUCCAAUAGUCCACUUCGAUGAACUCAAUUACAUCCUAACCAUUUUUUUUUUAAGUAUCACAGGAAAGAAAACUACCUUCUCAUCACAAGAGCGGCAA